CCUCAACAUGUAAUUUCAAACACCAUGGAACCAUGUGAUUUAACUACCGCUGAAAUCUCUUCCUCCACACGACCGAAAUUCCUCCCGCUCCAAACUUCAGUGCAGCUGCACGUGUCUUUUCUUAUGAAUGUACUCCCGAGAACCUUUUCCAGGUCUGAUAUUCUCGCGGUUAUCUUCCUGCUCAUGGAGUCAAGGUUGAAGAACGCCAGGUAUAUUUCUCCUAUAUAAUGGACCACAGACAUUAGCCCUCAGAAAUACCUCCUUUAUUGUUGGAUUCCACCGUGGCACAUAAUCUUGAGUAACUGCUAAUGAGGUUUCCUUUCUCAUUCAGCUCCCACAUCUAAACAUGCCACCUGCACCUUGAAAACAUGGGAAACUUGCUAUCUGAGGAUGUCCUCCGUUGACUGCCAGAUGCAUCCAGACAAGCAUCGUCACUGUCCAUAUUUGCCAGGUGAAACUUUGUUUGUUACUCCAAAUUUAUAAAUUGGGUGGUGCUUACGAUGUCAGGAGAGGAAUUGUUUUGCCCAGGCAAAAUGAGAUAUUUUUGUCAUCCUGCAUCCCAUAGUUCCUGCAUAUAUGAUCUGAUUUACCAUGUUGUGAAAACAUAUACCAUCCAUUUGCUUUGUCAUCACUGCAGGCAGUGAGACCAAGAGAUACACCAUCAAUCUUUGGUACGUGUACAAGAUCUUCGGAUAUGAAACGACUAGAAUGCUUGUCUUCUUUGGAAGUCCUUUCACUUACGAAUAAAAUACAGGGUACCUCCAUAUUAUUUAUGCUGUAGUGAUUUAUUUUCAGUAAUGUAGGAUUUGUUAUUAUGCUUAACGUGUCAUUGUCGAGAUGCCUCAAAUCUCCUCCAUACAUUAGAGGAGACUUAGCCAUUGACCAAAUGCAAACCUGUGUUCUCUGUUCAUCAGAUGUAAGUUCACAUUGCCUAUAAAAACUGCAAAUAAUUACCUGCAUUUGUAAGCCAGCCAAAUGGGAGCAUGUCUAAAUCUGGCCAAGAUCUUCCUCGUAAUCCUAUGGCCCCAAUUUUAUUUGCAGCAGCAAAGGAACUACACGUCAAAAUGUGAACUAACAUCCUUCCAGUUGUCCCAAUCAUCCCCUGUUAUCCUGUACAUGUUAACAUGUUGACUGAUGUUUUUGGCUAAUGCUGGAGUCACUUCGGUUCCUGGUGAGAUGGACAGGAUGAUGGGGCGGUCAAGCUCUGCCAAGAGCUGCAAUUUAGAAAUUAGCUUAUUCGAAUAUUGUAAUAACUAAACUGAAGAAUUAUGCUAUAAGAAUACCAAAAUCAACACCCCAAUCAGCGUACUGUUGAUAAAGAGAUCUUAGGAAGGCCUUUCCAGCUCCAAUAUCAGUAUUUACACUCAUAAAUCCAUGUGGCAUCCAUGCACAUGUUCUAUGUGUAAGACCUAUAUCACGAGCUGUCCAUUGCCGGCCAUCCUCUACGUAGGGAAAACAUUACCGUUUUAAUGUCCAAUAUGGGUGUGUUUCCAUUCACAGCCUGUAAACUUAUCCCUUUCAUUAAAUGGAUUCCGAAUUUCAAGCCCAUUCCAUGCACCUUGUUCGCAAGUUGACUGAACCCUUUAUCAAUUCUGGAUGAUGGAAAUCUUUGAAGAUCAGGAAAUGGCCGACCCCACUCAUCAAUGUUAUCAAAUCCAUAUGAAUCUGUGUAUGCCCCAUGAACAUACUUUCGGUACCAGAGGUAAUCAAUAACUGCAUACCUCAUAUCCAUGUGGGAGCAAUUUUUCUGCCAAGAUCUCCGCAUUUUGCAUGUAUGUAUUUUCAUCAACUAUCCAUGAAAAGGAAUCAUAGGAAUUCCAGCCUCUUGGUGGAAACUCAGCAAGUUGUUCAUUAGCCUCGGAAGUGCCCCUGAAAUGAGGGCGCAGAGGAGGGCGUAGCGGAGGAGGCGGCGCCAUGGCGGCGGAUGGGAGGAUGGGGCUCCCCUUCCCAUCCCGUCGGGCCGAGGCGUGGCGACUGGGGAGUGGUGAGUGAAG
RNAcentral lists this small RNA (1994 nucleotides) under Oryza sativa Japonica Group (Japanese rice). RNAcentral's name for it is "sRNA Os01g0518550". The record is from RNAcentral. Lineage: Eukaryota; Viridiplantae; Streptophyta; Magnoliopsida; Poales; Poaceae.